Molecule: long non-coding RNA, 865 nt
Filed under: Capsicum annuum
Lineage: Eukaryota; Viridiplantae; Streptophyta; Magnoliopsida; Solanales; Solanaceae
Description: long non-coding RNA (CANN_LNC009171)
Source: RNAcentral
AUCACUUGUUUCAUAUUCAUUCAUCGAUUCUUCCUCAUCACUUGUGUCAUUUUCAUCAAGUAACUCUUCCUCGCUUAUUUCAUUUUCAUCAGUUGGAUCUUCCUCGUCAUUUGCCCUGGAUGUUCCUUCUCCAUAAUCAUGACCAUUCAAUCUAAGUUCAGAAGGAUCAAACUCUUCAUAUAGGCCUUCGUUAUGCUUCAAAUCACCUGCAAAUUCAUCAUCCACCCUUUCUUCAACACUUGAAAUGUCAUUUUGAUACGCUACAUCUAAUGUGUCCUCCACUACAACUCUACCCACGGGCUUUGUUUUUAUAACUACCCGUCAUAAGAUUUAUUCUUACACAAAGGAUAAGGAGCGUAAUACACUUGUUUCACAUUUUGUGCAAUGACAAAUGGAUCAUAGAGUCCAUAUUCCCUUAUACGCUUAAUUUCAACUAUUUUGUACUGAGGGUGCACCUUUGUACCUAACCUAGGAGUAGGAUCAUACCAUUUACACCGAAAGAGAACCAAUUUUUUCUUUGGCUAACCAACAUGAUAAUCGAGUUCUAAAAUCUCGUGAAGCACACCAUAAUAAUCAACACUGCCAUCACCGUUCACCCAAACCCCACUAUUUUUGGUUUUCUUGCCCUUAGAGAACUCUUUUGUAUGAAAUCUGUACCCAUUGGCAAAGUACAUAGAAAACUUUCUGACUUUAGCAUCAGGUCCCCAAGCUAUAUCACGUAAAAAUUGGCCAUUUGGGUCAUAAUUAAGUAGAUUAUGAACUUAUAAAAAGUUUUAAAAAAAUUAGAAUUAAAAUAUACAUGAUAUUGAACAUUGCUAGAAAAUCGUGUUAAAUAUUUAAGUUACACUUACAUAUUCUCUAAACC